UCGAAAUCGGGGUCAUCUGGAUC
RNAcentral lists this non-coding RNA (23 nucleotides) under Arabidopsis thaliana (thale cress). Lineage: Eukaryota; Viridiplantae; Streptophyta; Magnoliopsida; Brassicales; Brassicaceae. The record is from RNAcentral.